CGUGGAAUCUAUAGGUCUACUUCCUCAUUCUUUACCUCUGCCUUCCUCUUAGCUUGAGCUGAGUUGGGUGAGAAGACGUAGAGAGCAGCAAGCUUUUUGUUUCGCUCGAUCAUCGGCUGGAAACGUUUCAAAAAGUUUGUCUUCAGACCCAUUUUUAUUCCGGCAGUUUUUGUUCGAUUACUGUACGGUCAGUCACACCACAUCAAGAUCAUGGACUGGUUGAGGCCAAUUCUGGAUGGAAUUCGGGCUAUCUAUAACUGGAUUCCAGGUGACUCUAAUUACAUCCAGGCUAUCUAUACAUGGAUUUCAGGGUCAGCAACACCAAGAACAAAUGUUGAUAGUGGCGGUGUUGUUACCAACAGAAAGAUUGACAAUGUUAAAGCAAAAAACUUCACCGCCAGGACUGAAACAGUGAGUGCUCCAGGAAAUCCUUCAUGUGGAGAUGCUGGACAGAAUUCUGGAGCAGUUUUUGAUGCACGUGGUGGCGGUGCAAUCUGUGUUGACCAAAUAACUAACAGCACUUUUGAUGGUGAUGUAGAUUUUUCAACGAUUGUGAAACCAGCACAAGGACAGUAGACAAGACACUGGCAUCCGCUCAGUUCAGAGUUUUGCUGAAGAGUUGGACUAACCCAAUUGUGGUGGAAGGGGGAUCCCCAAGGCCCAGCGUGUAUCCUGCAUCACUUGUUCUCUACUUAUACCAGCCAUCACAAAAUUCUUGUCUCUGAUCAACAGGAACUGUCUUCACUUUCCAUUUCUUUCAUACUUCAGUGAAUUUACUUGAUAGAUCAUUAGUCAGUUGUAUAGCCAUGUACGUACAUGUUCUGCCUGUGCUGCUGUGUAUUUGGUGACUUGUGUGAGUUUCUAAGAUAUAUGAAAGUGUUUAAGCCACAAAUCGUUGAAUCAACCCCUUUAGGCUAAUAUAAGAUGUAGAAAAAAGUGCAAGAGAGAACUGACGAUAGUCGUGGCAUUAUGUUUUUGAGUUGUCCGUCCAUUCACCUGUUUUGUAAAUGUGAUUUCGUCAAGAAUACACUGGGACAAAUAUCCUCCUGGAAUCAGUGAUGAACCAACUGAAAUUUAGUGGCUUAAUGUCACUGUGACCUUGAUCUGUGUCACUCUUGUGGACUGGAUGUUUCAGAAGGCAUUAAAGGGAGUUUCCAUAAAUUUGGAAGAAAAAAACAUACAAAAACAUUCCACUUAGACUCAAAAAUGAACUAAUUAGAAUUUGGUGAACAAAGGUCACUGUGACUUCAUAAAACAUGUUCUUGGCCAUAACCCAUGAAUUUAUAGUCACAUUAUGACAAACUUUCACACAAAUGUCAAUUAGAAAUUAAUAAUGAAGUGAUGAUAUUUUAAAUCCAAAAUGUCAAAAAUAAGCUUCAGUGUGAUAUCACAAUGUUCUUCAAAAACACUUUUUUGGCCAUUACUUAACGUUAACAAGGGAAGGAGGACAUUGGUGACACUGUCCAUCAUGAAACUGCAGUGAUUGUAUAGGUCUUCUACGCUGCCUGGUAGAAGACGUGUGAAGCAUCCACGUUUUAGAAUUUGUAGCUUCUUUGCAGCAGCAUCCAUGUUUGAAGAAUUGUCUACUGUCAUGGCUACAUAUGAUUAGAUGCAAACAUGGAUGUUAGCUGCAACUGGUGUUUAGCAGAGGCAUGCAAAAGCAAAGCAUGCAGUAUAUCCAAGUUUCUUUUUGGAUACUCUUGUUGUACUCUUUCAUUCACUUUCAGAUCUCUAUGUUUUUUUGACACAGUUCCUCCUCUUUAAAGUAGAACUUAGUUUUCUUUUCUGUUUUUGAUUGCUUUGAUUAAUCUCAAUGGCAGUUUAGCUUUGCUUUAAAAAAUCGCUGUUUAAAAAAACAUUUGUAAUUGUUUAUCAUCACUACUAAAUAAAAACAAGUAGACUGUUGUGGUCUAUUGAAAGACA
Plectropomus leopardus (leopard coralgrouper) is the source of this 1923-nucleotide non-coding RNA. Lineage: Eukaryota; Metazoa; Chordata; Actinopteri; Perciformes; Serranidae. The record is from RefSeq and is a predicted model, not a curated record.